Molecule: ribosomal RNA, 796 nt
Filed under: Paenibacillus polymyxa
Lineage: Bacteria; Bacillati; Bacillota; Bacilli; Caryophanales; Paenibacillaceae
Description: bacterial LSU rRNA
Rfam family: Bacterial large subunit ribosomal RNA
Source: RNAcentral
UAGUAGCGAAGGUCAUGAUCUCAGACUGCCAAGAAAAGCCUCUAGCCAGGAGAAGGUGCCCGUACCGCAAACCGACACAGGUAGGCGAGAAGAGAAUUCUAAGGCGCGCGGAAGAACUCUCGUUAAGGAACUCGGCAAAAUGACCCCGUAACUUCGGGAGAAGGGGUGCCUCGGUAGGGUGAAUAGCCCGAGGGGGCCGCAGUGAAAAGGCCCAAGCGACUGUUUAGCAAAAACACAGGUCUGUGCGAAGCCGCAAGGCGAAGUAUACGGGCUGACGCCUGCCCGGUGCUGGAAGGUUAAGGGGAGUGGUAAGCUCGCAAGAGCGAAGCUAUGAACCGAAGCCCCAGUAAACGGCGGCCGUAACUAUAACGGUCCUAAGGUAGCGAAAUUCCUUGUCAGGUAAAUUCUGACCCGCACGAAUGGCGUAACGACUUGGGCGCUGUCUCAACGAGAGAUCCGGUGAAAUUUUAAUACCUGUGAAGAUGCAGGUUACCCGCGACAAGACGGAAAGACCCCAUGGAGCUUUACUGCAGCUUGAUAUUGAAUUUGGGUACGAUCUGUACAGGAUAGGUGGGAGCCGUUGAAUCUUGAGCGCCAGCUUGAGAGGAGGCAUCCUUGGGAUACCACCCUGAUCGUAUCUAGGUUCUAACUUGGUACCGUGACCCGGUGCGAGGACAGUGUCAGGUGGGCAGUUUGACUGGGGCGGUCGCCUCCUAAAGAGUAACGGAGGCGCCCCAAGGUUCCCUCAGAAUGGUUGGAAAUCAUUCGAAGAGUGCAAAGGCAGAAGGGAGCUUGA